This is a long non-coding RNA of Gopherus evgoodei (Goodes thornscrub tortoise), 100 nucleotides long. RefSeq lists it as uncharacterized. Lineage: Eukaryota; Metazoa; Chordata; Testudines; Testudinidae. The transcript is spliced from 3 exons. The record is from RefSeq and is a predicted model, not a curated record.
UACAGAGUCUCUGGAAGGGAGCAUUUGAAAACUCAAUAUGCUGGUCAGUAUUGUCCUGACAAAAUGUGUGUGGCAACAUUGUAUGGAAAGUUAUAAGAUU